CAAAUGACUCUCGGCAAUGGAUAUCUCGGCUCUUGCAUCGAUGAAGAACGUAGUGAAAUGCGAUACUUGGUGUGAAUUGCAGAAUCUCGUGAACCAUUGAGUCUUUGAACGCAAGUUGUGCCCGAGGCCCCGUGGUCGAGGGCACGCCUGCUUGGGGGUCAUGGC
RNAcentral lists this ribosomal RNA (165 nucleotides) under Borneocola petiolatus. RNAcentral's name for it is "5.8S ribosomal RNA". It matches the Rfam family "5.8S ribosomal RNA". Rfam says of the family: 5.8S ribosomal RNA (5.8S rRNA) is a component of the large subunit of the eukaryotic ribosome. It is transcribed by RNA polymerase I as part of the 45S precursor that also contains 18S and 28S rRNA. RNAcentral also lists the same sequence under 1 other name. The record is from RNAcentral. Lineage: Eukaryota; Viridiplantae; Streptophyta; Magnoliopsida; Zingiberales; Zingiberaceae.